Long non-coding RNA from Hibiscus syriacus, 386 nucleotides. RefSeq lists it as uncharacterized. The transcript has 5 exons. Lineage: Eukaryota; Viridiplantae; Streptophyta; Magnoliopsida; Malvales; Malvaceae. The record is from RefSeq and is a predicted model, not a curated record.
CAAACCUAGAUUUUUAACCAUCCAAUGUUCCCUUCCUCUCUCAUCUGACGGUGCCGCCACUGGGCUGGCCGAGAGGCCAUGGAAGGUAGCGGGUGCUAGGCUGGUUCUAUUUGGGGGGGGGGGGGCAAAUCUUUUGGUACGUCUGAAACCCAAGUUGGUGAAGUGGUUUUCAACACUUCUUUAACUGGGUAUCAGGAGAUUCUAACCGACCCUAGUUAUGCUGGUCAGUUUGUCUUGAUGACCAAUCCACACGUCGGCAAUACCGGAGUAAAUUUUGAUGAUGAAGAAUCGAGGCAGUGCUUCCUUGCUGCUUUGGUGAUCAGAAGUCUAAGCAUUACUACUUCCAACUGGAGAUGUGUGGAAACCCUCGGUGAUUAUUUAGCAAA